This 468-nucleotide ribosomal RNA is filed under the name uncultured bacterium. Its description in RNAcentral is "partial 16S ribosomal RNA". It matches the Rfam family "Bacterial small subunit ribosomal RNA", at positions 28 to 507 of the family's 1533-position model. The record is from RNAcentral.
GACGAACGCUGGCGGCGUGCUUAACACAUGCAAGUCGAACGGAAAGGCCCUGCUUUUGUGGGGUGCUCGAGUGGCGAACGGGUGAGUAACACGUGAGUAACCUGCCCUUGACUUUGGGAUAACUUCAGGAAACUGGGGCUAAUACCGGAUAGGAGCUCCUGCUGCAUGGUGGGGGUUGGAAAGUUUCGGUGGUUGGGGAUGGACUCGCGGCUUAUCAGCUUGUUGGUGGGGUAGUUGCUUACCAAGGCUUUGACGGGUAGCCGGCCUGAGAGGGUGACCGGCCACAAUGGGACUGAGAUACGGCCCCGACUCCUACGGGAGGCAGCAGUGGGGAAUAUUGCACAAUGGGCGGAAGCCUGAUGCAGCAACGCCGCGUGCGGGAUGACGGCCUUCGGGUUGUAAACCGCUUUCGCCUGUGACGAAGCGUGAGUGACGGUAAUGGGUAAAGAAGCACCGGCUAACUACGUG